Populus nigra (black poplar) is the source of this 532-nucleotide long non-coding RNA. RefSeq lists it as uncharacterized. The record is from RefSeq and is a predicted model, not a curated record. The transcript is spliced from 2 exons. NCBI's taxonomy places the organism in Eukaryota, Viridiplantae, Streptophyta, Magnoliopsida, Malpighiales, Salicaceae.
UUCCUAUCCAUUCAAAUUGGGUCGGUAUCCAUUGGGUUUGGAUAAAAUUGCCAUCCUUGGAAGCAUUUGUGAUAUCAAAUGCUAAAAGAUGCUAUGGAGUUUGGCUGAUAAAAAGGUGUGGUUCACUCAUGGAAAGUGGGUAUGAUCUAAGGUAUCGUUGUUUAAUUUUCCUCGUUUAAACUGGUAUAGCUAAUCGUGUUGCUGCCAUCUAAAUUAUGAUUACCUUCCACAGAAAGUGAAGCCUCUCUGUUCCCUUUCUUUUUGAGAAAAUAGAGAGAAAAAAAUCUUGCUCUCAAGGAGAUAACUUGCAUUGAUUAUUUGAAAGGGAAUUUGAAGUCAUGCUACGUAGUGCAGAGAUUAAAUCAUGAUACUAAGGUGCCUCUGCUUCAUUUCUGCAUGAUAAUUUGUGUACAGAGAUGUAUGGACUGUUUUUUUUCUUCCUUGUUUUGGCCAACAGUGCACACCAGGAAUAGAAAUUUAUUACAGCAGUACACAUCAAUUAAAAUAAUGAUCAAUCAAUAAAUUUUGCUAA